RNAcentral lists this transfer RNA (72 nucleotides) under Camelus bactrianus (Bactrian camel). It matches the Rfam family "tRNA". Rfam says of the family: Transfer RNA (tRNA) molecules are approximately 80 nucleotides in length. Their secondary structure includes four short double-helical elements and three loops (D, anti-codon, and T loops). Further hydrogen bonds mediate the characteristic L-shaped molecular structure. tRNAs have two regions of fundamental functional importance: the anti-codon, which is responsible for specific mRNA codon recognition, and the 3' end, to which the tRNAs corresponding amino acid is attached (by aminoacyl-tRNA synthetases). tRNAs cope with the degeneracy of the genetic code in two manners: having more than one tRNA (with a specific anti-codon) for a particular amino acid; and 'wobble' base-pairing, i.e. permitting non-standard base-pairing at the 3rd anti-codon position. RNAcentral also lists the same sequence under 2 other names. The record is from Rfam by way of RNAcentral. Lineage: Eukaryota; Metazoa; Chordata; Mammalia; Artiodactyla; Camelidae.
GAGGGUAUAGCUCAGUGGUAGAGUGCAUGCCUAGCAUUCACAAGGUCCUGGGUUCAAUCCCCAGCACCUCCA